This 402-nucleotide ribosomal RNA is filed under the name uncultured bacterium. Its description in RNAcentral is "bacterial SSU rRNA". It matches the Rfam family "Bacterial small subunit ribosomal RNA", at positions 355 to 774 of the family's 1533-position model. The record is from RNAcentral.
UGGGGAAUCUUGCACAAUGGGGGCAACCCUGAUGCAGCGACGCCGCGUGAGCGAUGAAGCCCUUCGGGGCGUAAAGCUCUUUCGACCGGAACGAUAAUGACGGUACCGGGAGAAGAAGCUGCGGCUAACUACGUGCCAGCAGCCGCGGUAAUACGUAGGCAGCAAGCGUUGUUCGGAGUUACUGGGCGUAAAGAGUGCGUAGGCGAUUUUCUAAGUUCGGUGUGAAAUCUCCCGGCGUAACUGGGAGGGUGCGCCGAAGACUGGGAAGCUGGAGUGUGGGAAAGGCAGGCGGAAUUCCUGGUGUAGCUGUGAAAUGCGUAGAUAUCAGGAGGAACACCGGCGGUGUAGACGGCUUGCUAGACCAUAACUGACGCUGAGGCACGAAAGCGUGGGUAGCAAACA